CUUGGAGAACAAGUAUGGGCACGUUAUUAUGGUUUCAGAUGGCUGUGGGCAGACAACUGAUCCUGUUUUGCCUUCUAUUCCUUUGCAAGACAGACACAACUAGAAUUACUCCCAGCUGUCAUCUAUGGACUUCUCAAAACUUCUUCACAAUUUGGAGGCUGGAAACAGCUGAAAGUACCGAUUAAAACCAUCUGACCCCAUGAAUCACCAAAACACUAGGGACACUGAUAAAAAGACUCGGGUGUACAGCAUCAAUGACUAAAAACAGAAAAAACCCUUAUCACUUUUAAGUUUUUACAGUUUAUACCAGUGUGGACUAUAAUUUAUGAAAGCAGAAAGCCUUUUGACUACAGCUUCUUCUCUGCCUCACAGUUUAUUUGGGAAACGGAGAGAACCUAGAUUCCAGUUCCAUUUCCUAGGUUAGUCACCAACAUUGUAUUUGCUGUAGCUUGUUACCUCUCUUUUCUGGAAUAUUUAACCACAGGAGUCUUAUGCAAAGGAAAUGGGGAGAUGGCAGUAAAUCUGGAGUGGUCAGAGUGCUGCUCUGCCUUUGCCUGCCUGGGCAGGAACGGGCAAACAGCUGGUAACUGCUGUUCAGGACUUGGGUAGAUUAUGUCAUUCCCAGAAACUGGCAUGCCAUUUGUGCAGUAGUUAGAUUUUUCUCCCCUAUGAACACCUCGCAAAGUAGGCUUUCAUGGGUCUGAUCCAGUAAUGGCAAUUUUGUACAAAUUUAGUUUAGUUCAAUGUCUUGGAAAUUACUUGAUUGAAAUGUAAUUGCUACUACUCUCCAGAGAACUGAAUUAUGCUAAUAAGAAAUAGUCUUAGUUUUCUAGUGCUUUAUUUAAGAUAUAAAAUAGAAAUUCAACCUCCCACACCCUUUUUUUAAUUUAUCAAUAAAGUCAUUCUAGUCCUUGCA
RNAcentral lists this long non-coding RNA (916 nucleotides) under Anas platyrhynchos platyrhynchos (common mallard). RNAcentral's name for it is "lncRNA (ENSAPLG00000017484.1)". Lineage: Eukaryota; Metazoa; Chordata; Aves; Anseriformes; Anatidae. The record is from RNAcentral.